GGGUUGUGAGGUUAAGCGACUAAGCGUACACGGUGGAUGCCCUGGCAGUCAGAGGCGAUGAAGGGCGUGCUAAUCUGCGAUAAGCGCCGGUAAGGUGAUAUGAACCGUUAUAACCGGCGAUACCCGAAUGGGGAAACCCAGUGUGAUUCGUCACACUAUCAUUAACUGAAUCCAUAGGUUAAUGAGGCGAACCGGGGGAACUGAAACAUCUAAGUACCCCGAGGAAAAGAAAUCAACCGAGAUUCCCCCAGUAGCGGCGAGCGAACGGGGAGGAGCCCAGAGCCUGAAUCAGCAUGUGUGUUAGUGGAAGCGUCUGGAAAGGCGCGCGAUACAGGGUGACAGCCCCGUACACAAAAGCGCAUGUGCUGUGAGCUCGAUGAGUAGGGCGGGACACGUGGUAUCCUGUCUGAAUAUGGGGGGACCAUCCUCCAAGGCUAAAUACUCCUGACUGACCGAUAGUGAACCAGUACCGUGAGGGAAAGGCGAAAAGAACCCCGGCGAGGGGAGUGAAAAAGAACCUGAAACCGUGUACGUACAAGCAGUGGGAGCCCCACCACUAAGCCAGUGGUGAACUCCACAUACGCAUCCUUUGCUGAGGAUACGGUUAACGGAGCGAAAGCGACGUUCAACCU
This 632-nucleotide ribosomal RNA is filed under the name Salmonella enterica. RNAcentral describes it as "partial 23S ribosomal RNA". It matches the Rfam family "Bacterial large subunit ribosomal RNA", at positions 1 to 652 of the family's 2925-position model. Lineage: Bacteria; Pseudomonadati; Pseudomonadota; Gammaproteobacteria; Enterobacterales; Enterobacteriaceae. The record is from RNAcentral.